AUUGAACGCUGGCGGCAGGCUUAACACAUGCAAGUCGAGCGGAGUGAUGGUGCUUGCACUAUCACUUAGCGGCGGACGGGUGAGUAAUGCUUAGGAAUCUGCCUAUUAGUGGGGGACAACAUCUCGAAAGGGAUGCUAAUACCGCAUACGUCCUACGGGAGAAAGCAGGGGAUCACUUGUGACCUUGCGCUAAUAGAUGAGCCUAAGUCGGAUUAGCUAGUUGGUGGGGUAAAGGCCUACCAAGGCGACGAUCUGUAGCGGGUCUGAGAGGAUGAUCCGCCACACGUGGACUGAGACACGGCGCAGACUCCUACGGGAGGCAGCAGGGGGGAAUAUUGGACAAUGGGGGGGACCCUGAUCCAGCCAUGCCGCGUGUGUGAAGAAGGCCUUAUGGUUGUAAAGCACUUUAAGCGAGGAGGAGGCUCUUUUGGUUAAUACCCAAGAUGAGUGGACGUUACUCGCAGAAUAAGCACCGGCUAACUCUGUGCCAGCAGCCGCGGUAA
RNAcentral lists this ribosomal RNA (503 nucleotides) under uncultured bacterium. RNAcentral's name for it is "partial 16S ribosomal RNA". It matches the Rfam family "Bacterial small subunit ribosomal RNA", at positions 30 to 523 of the family's 1533-position model. The record is from RNAcentral.